RNAcentral lists this ribosomal RNA (441 nucleotides) under uncultured Oomycota. RNAcentral's name for it is "LSU rRNA". It matches the Rfam family "Eukaryotic large subunit ribosomal RNA", at positions 165 to 609 of the family's 3401-position model. The record is from RNAcentral. Lineage: Eukaryota; Oomycota.
AGCAUAGCGAUUUGGGAUAAGUCCCUUGGAAAAGGGCAGCAUGGAGGGUGAUACUCCCGUCUCUGCUCAGAUUGUCUGUGUGUACGAUACGCUUUCUUUGAGUCGAGUUGUUUGGGAAUACAGCUCAAAGUAGGUGGUAAAUUCCAUCUAAAGCUAAAUAUUGGUGCGAGACCGAUAGCGAACAAGUCCCGUGAGGGAAAGAUGAAAAGAACUUUGAAAAGAGAGUUAAAGAGUACCUGAAACUGUUGAAAGGGAACCGUAUCGUUUCCAGUGUUGUAUCCUGUGCAUAUUUCAUUAGCGGAGUAAUUUGCUGGUGCCCUGUGCAUGGGUGUGACGUCAGAGUCAGUUUGUAUGCUGCGGGAGAUGGUCAGUAAGGAGGUGCGUCACUUCGGUGAAAGUUAUAUCUUACUGUCUAGUAGCCGUGGUUGAGACUGAGGUGCC